This 499-nucleotide ribosomal RNA is filed under the name uncultured bacterium. RNAcentral describes it as "partial 16S ribosomal RNA". It matches the Rfam family "Bacterial small subunit ribosomal RNA", at positions 899 to 1397 of the family's 1533-position model. The record is from RNAcentral.
ACUCAAAUGAAUUGACGGGGGCCCGCACAAGCGGCGGAGCAUGCGGAUUAAUUCGAUGCAACGCGAAGAACCUUACCAAGGCUUGACAUGAACCGGUAAAGCGUAGAAAUACGCUCCCCACUUGUGGCCGGUUUACAGGUGGUGCAUGGUUGUCGUCAGCUCGUGUCGUGAGAUGUUGGGUUAAGUCCCGCAACGAGCGCAACCCUCGUUCUAUGUUGCCAGCGGGUUAUGCCGGGGACUCAUAGGAGACUGCCGGGGUCAACUCGGAGGAAGGUGGGGACGACGUCAAAUCAUCAUGCCCCUUAUGUCUUGGGCUUCACGCAUGCUACAAUGGCCGGUACAAAGGGUUGCGAUACUGUGAGGUGGAGCUAAUCCCAAAAAGCCGGUCUCAGUUCGGAUUGAGGUCUGCAACUCGACCUCAUGAAGUUGGAGUCGCUAGUAAUCGCAGAUCAGCAACGCUGCGGUGAAUACGUUCCCGGGCCUUGUACACACCGCCCGU